This 64-nucleotide transfer RNA is filed under the name Dipodomys ordii (Ord's kangaroo rat). It matches the Rfam family "tRNA". From Rfam's summary of the family: Transfer RNA (tRNA) molecules are approximately 80 nucleotides in length. Their secondary structure includes four short double-helical elements and three loops (D, anti-codon, and T loops). The record is from Rfam by way of RNAcentral. Lineage: Eukaryota; Metazoa; Chordata; Mammalia; Rodentia; Heteromyidae.
GGUGGCUCAGUGUUAGAGUGCUUGCCUUGCAUGCAUGAGGCCCUGAGUUCGAUUCCUAGUACCA